CAGUCGCCGCGGUAAAACGUAGGGUGCAAGCGUUAAUCGGAAUUACUGGGCGUAAAGCGUGCGCAGGCGGUUUUGUAAGACAGAGGUGAAAUCCCCGGGCUCAACCUGGGAACUGCCUUUGUGACUGCAAGGCUAGAGUACGGCAGAGGGGGAUGGAAUUCCGCGUGUAGCAGUGAAAUGCGUAGAUAUGCGGAGGAACACCGAUGGCGAAGGCAAUCCCCUGGGCCUGUACUGACGCUCAUGCACGAAAGCGUGGGGAGCAAACAGGAUUAGAUACCCCCGUAGUCCCUGUCUCUUAUAC
RNAcentral lists this ribosomal RNA (301 nucleotides) under uncultured bacterium. Its description in RNAcentral is "partial 16S ribosomal RNA". It matches the Rfam family "Bacterial small subunit ribosomal RNA", at positions 509 to 807 of the family's 1533-position model. The record is from RNAcentral.